Molecule: ribosomal RNA, 504 nt
Filed under: uncultured bacterium
Lineage: Bacteria
Description: bacterial SSU rRNA
Rfam family: Bacterial small subunit ribosomal RNA
Source: RNAcentral
GAUUCUGGCUCAGGAUGAACGCUGGCGGCGUGCUUAACACAUGCAAGUCGAACGAAGCAUUACUUACGAUCCCUUCGGGGUGACGAGUUAUGACUGAGUGGCGGACGGGUGAGUAACGCGUGGGUAACCUGCCUCAUACAGGGGGGAUAACAGUUGGAAACGACUGCUAAUACCGCAUAAGCGCACGGUACCGCAUGGUACAGUGUGAAAAACUCCGGUGGUAUGAGAUGGACCCGCGUCUGAUUAGCUAGUUGGUGAGGUAACGGCCCACCAAGGCGACGAUCAGUAGCCGACCUGAGAGGGUGACCGGCCACAUUGGGACUGAGACACGGCCCAAACUCCUACGGGAGGCAGCAGUGGGGAAUAUUGCACAAUGGGCGAAAGCCUGAUGCAGCCGACGCCGCGUGAGUGAGGAAGUAUUUCGGUAUGUAAAGCUCUAUCAGCAGGGAAGAAAAUGACGGUACCUGAGUAAGAAGCUCCGGCUAAAUACGUGCCAGCAGCAGC